This 485-nucleotide ribosomal RNA is filed under the name uncultured Glomus. Its description in RNAcentral is "SSU rRNA". It matches the Rfam family "Eukaryotic small subunit ribosomal RNA", at positions 569 to 1058 of the family's 1831-position model. Lineage: Eukaryota; Fungi; Glomeromycota; Glomeromycetes; Glomerales; Glomeraceae. The record is from RNAcentral.
AGCAGCCGCGGUAAUUCCAGCUCCAAUAGCGUAUAUUAAGGUUGUUGCAGUUAAAAAGCUCGUAGUUGAAUUUCGGGAUCAGUACGUUGGUCGUGCCCUCGGUACGUACUGGCGUUACUGGUUCCUACCUUCUGAGGAACCGUUAUGUCAUUAAUUUGGUGUGAUGGGAAAUCAGGACUGUUACUUUGAAAAAAUUAGAGUGUUUAAAGCAGGCUCGCGCUUGAAUACAUUAGCAUGGAAUAAUGAAAUAGGACGUUCGAUCCUAUUUUGUUGGUUUCUAGGAUUGACGUAAUGAUUAAUAGGGAUAGUUGGGGGCAUUAGUAUUCAAUUGUCAGAGGUGAAAUUCUUGGAUUUAUUGAAGACUAACUACUGCGAAAGCAUUUGCCAAGGAUGUUUUCAUUAAUCAAGAACGAAAGUUAGGGGAUCGAAGACGAUCAGAUACCGUCGUAGUCUUAACCAUAAACUAUGCCGACUAGGGAUCGGAU